UACGGAGGGUGCAAGCGUUAUCCGGAUUCACUGGGUUUAAAGGGUGCGUAGGUGGGUUGGUAAGUCAGUGGUGAAAUCUCCAGGCUUAACUUGGAAACUGCCAUUGAUACUAUCAAUCUUGAAUACCGCGGAGGUCAGCGGAAUAUGUCAUGUAGCGGUGAAAUGCUUAGAUAUGACAUAGAACACCAAUUGCGAAGGCAGCUGGCUACACGAAUAUUGACACUGAUGCACGAAAGCGUGGGGAUCAAACAGG
RNAcentral lists this ribosomal RNA (253 nucleotides) under uncultured bacterium. Its description in RNAcentral is "partial 16S ribosomal RNA". It matches the Rfam family "Bacterial small subunit ribosomal RNA", at positions 524 to 776 of the family's 1533-position model. The record is from RNAcentral.